AACAAAUAAUAAGAAUUCUUAAAGAAAUAUUAGAAGGAUCACAAAUAUCACUCAAAUACAUCUCAAUUCAAUCUUAAUUUAAUUGUAGUUAAAAUCCUAUUGAACUUCAUUCAAACUUUAGGCCAAAACUAAUUGAAUCUUAAAUCCUAAUAAAAUCCUAAACCCUAAAUCCUAAAUCAAACCCUAAAAAAACCUUAAACCAAACUCCAACCAAAUCCUAAACCAAAUCAUAAUCAAAUCAUAAACUCUACAUCAAAUCCUAACUAAAUCCUAAUCCAAAUCCUAAAUCAUAAACCAAACCCUAAUUAAACCCUAAUUGAAUCCUAAAUCCUAAAUUAAAUCCUAAUUAAAUCCUUAAUCCUAAAUCAAAUCUUAACAAAACCCUAAAUCAAAUCUUAAUAAAAUCCUAAAUCCUAAACCAAAUCCUAAAUAAAUCCUAAAUAAAUCCUAAUAUAAAUCCUAAAUCCUAAACCAAAUCCUAAAUAAAUCCUAAUAAAAUCCUAAUACAAAUCUUAAACCCUAAAUAAAUAUUAAUCAAACCCUAAUCCAAAUCCUAGUAAUUCCUAUAACAGAUUUAAAUCUCAAUAACUAAUGAAUAAAUUAUUGAUCUUAACUCAAAUUUUGUAUAAUUUAAAAUAUGUAAGUUAAAAACAAGCACAAAAAAAUUAAAAAGGAUUGAAGUUACCAAAUUGACGAUAACCUCAAAAAUGUGCUCGGGUAUUGGCCGACCUCCUUCUCCAAUCAUGAUGCCAAUCUUCCAGAGCCAAUAUCUCUCCUUUGCACCAUUCGAUUGAUUUCAAAAUUCUCAUAUACAUAGAAAAUCAAGUCUAAUAUCCU
RNAcentral lists this long non-coding RNA (837 nucleotides) under Physcomitrium patens. Its description in RNAcentral is "long non-coding RNA (PPAT_LNC003154)". Lineage: Eukaryota; Viridiplantae; Streptophyta; Bryopsida; Funariales; Funariaceae. The record is from RNAcentral.